UACGUAGGGAGCAAGCGUUGUUCGGAUUUACUGGGCGUAAAGGGCGCGUAGGCGGCGCGGUAAGUCACUUGUGAAAUCUCUGAGCUUAACUCAGAACGGCCAAGUGAUACUGCAGUGCUAGAGUGCAGAAGGGGCAAUCGGAAUUCUUGGUGUAGCGGUGAAAUUCGUAGAUAUCGGGAGGAACACCAGUGGCGAAGGCGGCGAUCUGGGAAGAUACUGACGCUGAGGUGCGAAAGCGUGGGGAGCAAACAGG
This 253-nucleotide ribosomal RNA is filed under the name uncultured bacterium. Its description in RNAcentral is "partial 16S ribosomal RNA". It matches the Rfam family "Bacterial small subunit ribosomal RNA", at positions 524 to 776 of the family's 1533-position model. The record is from RNAcentral.